AGAUUGAACGCUGGCGGCAUGCCUAACACAUGCAAGUCGAACGGGAGUAGCAAUACUCUAGUGGCGGACGGGUGAGGAAUACGUAGGAAUUUGCCCUUAAGUGGGGGAUAACCCGGGGAAACCCGGAUUAAUACCGCAUGACCUCGAAAGAGCAAAGUGGGGGAUCGCAAGACCUCACGCUUUUGGAGAAGCCUACGUCGGAUUAGCUAGUUGGUGAGGUAAUGGCUCACCAAGGCGACGAUCCGUAACUGGUCUGAGAGGAUGAUCAGUCACACCGGAACUGAGACACGGUCCGGACUCCGUACGGGAGCAGCAGGUGGGGAAUAGUUGGACAAGUGGGCGCAAGCCUGACUCCAGCAAUGCCGUCGUGUGGUGGAAAGGACGGUCCGUUCGGGUUAGUAA
RNAcentral lists this ribosomal RNA (402 nucleotides) under uncultured soil bacterium. RNAcentral describes it as "bacterial SSU rRNA". It matches the Rfam family "Bacterial small subunit ribosomal RNA", at positions 26 to 428 of the family's 1533-position model. The record is from RNAcentral.